Rattus norvegicus (Norway rat) is the source of this 8376-nucleotide non-coding RNA. Lineage: Eukaryota; Metazoa; Chordata; Mammalia; Rodentia; Muridae. The record is from RefSeq and is a predicted model, not a curated record.
GAAAGAAGAUAAUUGAAAUAUUAAGGGCAGCUUUAGUCUGUCUUGUAAAGUGAGUAAACAAAAGAUUCCCGAAGUUGAUUGAAUAUUAGGAAAAAGUCAGAAACCAAAUAAAGUCUAAGUUUUGAUAGAGAGUUCAAGGUCUAGGCUCACAUCUCCCUUCAGGUAGUAUUCUCUAUAGAGAUCUGUCCUGCUCCUUGCAAAUAUAUAAAAUUACACUUCUGUCUCAACUCCUCUUUCUGUAAGCAUUCACCAGAGCCACAUAGAGCCUCUGUUCUUCAGCGAUAACCACGGUUAAAAAUGGCACUUAGUUCUCAGAUAUUCCCCACGUAUAAGGUCCAGUGUUAGCAAAGAGUAUUAUUAAAUCAGUUUAACAGGAACCCACAUUCUUUUUCUAUCAAAUUACUCCAACUAAUUGAUAAGCUCCUCAUCCUCUUCUAGCUUCCAGGUGAUGUCUUAGCACCCUGACCUGUCUCCCGCAAGGUUCUUUUUAGGCUGAUUUAACCAGAGCCCCAUUAUCUAGAUGUGGGGCAGCAUUCAUCCUCUGCCUUCUGUGGGCCUCCAUUGCACUAAGUCCCAGGGACCACAAGUUGGUCCAGAUGCCACCCAAGACAGAACCCUCUAGCUUGCUGUAUCAUUGAUACCCAGGUGGCCCACACAUUCACUGGUUCAGCAUGUAUGUUUUGAAGACUUACAAUGGACCAGGCAGAUGAGCUCCCCUGAGAAGUAGGCAGAGAGGUGUGGUUGUUACCAAUACUUUAGAGACGUGAAGCCUGAGACCCAACAGGUUAGGGCUUCAUUCUUUUGAGUUUUUAUCAUAAAAUGACCUCUGUAAUCUGGGCCAAUUAAUUUUCCCUAGCCUACACUCACCUAUGAACUGUGCAACAACGACAUGAAUAACAUUUACGUGAUAGUUUACUUAUUACAGUAAUAGCUAACACAUAUUAGAGACCACCUGUAUUCAAAGCACUACUGUAGCUUUUUUUUUUUUUUUUUACAUCUGUGUACUUACUUGGUCUAUUCCUGUUCAAGGAAAAGAAAAAUGGGUAAUUGGUGAAGGGCAUUUUGCAGGUAAGUAGAACUUAGGGUGUUGGGCUUCUGAGCAUAUAAGCUACCACAGAAUAGUCUCAUAAGAAUCUGGUCAAGACAAAUCUUUCCAGGUACAGAUACAGGAACUGGGUGUCCUAACAGGAAAAAGAUUCAGACAUUCAGACACUGAAUCUAGCAAGCCAGCAACCAGAAGACAAGUGGGAGGAUUAGAUGUAUGAUGGAUCUGGACCAUCCAAUCAAAUGAAAUUGAGUUGGGAGCUGUUGGAUAGUUCUAGGAACAUUAAGGGGAGUGAGUUGCUGUGCGAAGUUAUGGCAAUGAUAAAAAUCACGUACGCUGUAGUUAUUCGUUUAGGACCCUUUUUGGAUACUGGGUAAUUAGAUUAACAAGUGGCUGGGUCAAAGGGAAAUGUAUGAGAAAAGAGGGAAGAACUGGGAAGGGAGGAGGACAGCGAGAAGGAGGGAGGGAGGAGAGAGAAGGGAAGAGGGAAGUUAGGAGAAGAGAGGCGGGUAGGGAGACACUCUCUUCUCUGUGCAGAGCCUCAAGGCUACACCCCCAUGACAUUCAUCUCUGAACUCUUGGCACCAGCCACUGUGAGAUGCCUGAAUGGGCAAUGAAUGGGCAAAUCACCAGCAAAUUGCCAGCGAGCUCACAUCCCAGGUCAUCAUUUCUUCUGAGCUGAAUGUUUUUCUCCCUGUCCUCUUUAGCAGCACCCAGGGAGCAAAACACUACUCCAGGUCACUUCUCAGCCUGGGUAGGAAAGUUCCAAGGGACAAGGAGGUUUCAGAAAGACCAGCAUGGGCUCAGGGCAAUAUGCCUCCCCCUUUGCCACUCUUAAGCCUCAAGAGCCAGUCUCCUGUAACAAGCUGUCAUCUGUCUCUGAGAAAUUUGUCCUUCUUUUAGAUCAGUAAAGAGUCUGUGCUUCUUUAUUCAGGAGCAAACACAAAAUGUUCUGUAUUUUAAAAGCGGACUAGAGUCAACAGGAUCUCCCACAACACUUAGCACCAAGUAAAGAGUCAGGAUAGGAUGGCUCCAUAAAAGACAGAUGCCCAGUAAACCUGAAUUUUAGAUAUACUGCAAAUAUGAAGGAUAGUGCAUCAUAAACAUUACACACAGCAUACUUAUAUUUUAAAAAUAGUCCCUGCUUAUCCGAAAUUAAUUUUUAACCUGCCUUUAUUUGCCAAACCUGACAACCCCAACAGGGCAAUGUCCUUCCAGCCAAGUGGGGGUGGGGGACUGUCCUCGACCCACCCUAGAUGUCUCAUGGUCCUGAGCCCCUGCCAAAAGCCUCUUCGCAUCCUGCAUUCAUCUCUCACCUCCAUCCCGUUCCAAUUCACUUUCUUAAAGAGUUUGGGGUUUUGCCCUCCUUCUUCCUAUCUUCCUUAUCUUUCCCUUUCUCCCUCCUUCCAUUCUUGUUUUUAUUGUUAUGUGUCUGUCUGUCUGUUUGCAGUACUAGGGGCCAAACCCAGGGCCUUGGGUGAACUAGGCAAGCAUUCUACCACAGUGCGACAUCUUCAGCUCCCCCCACUCUCUUAGCUCCCCCCACUCUCUCAGCUGCCCCCACUCUUUUUAGGGUUCAGCUAUUUUGUGGUUGAGUGUUUUGCCUAUACAUCUGUCUGUGCACCACAUGCAUGCUUGGUAUUUGUAGAGGUGAGUGGGGCUGGCGGGGUUGGCGGCGGGGGAAGAAAACUGCUGAAUCUGUGGAUCUAGCUAUGGUUGCGAAUUACAGUGUAGAUGCUGGGAUUCAACUGCUGGUCCUCUGGAAGAGCAGGAACUACUUUUAACCACUGAGCUGUAUCCGAGACCCCAACCUUGUAGUUUUUAAGACAAGAUCUGGCUAUGAAACCCAGUCUAUCUGCUUUUACCUCCCACGUGCUGAUGCUCCAAGGUGUAGGGCCCCACAAGACCCAGCCCCUACAUUCAUUUUACUCAAUGUCUCCAGCCCCUGACACCUUUUCCAGGAGCUGUGCUACACAGAUGACAAGUCAGAUAUAGUCCCUGAAAAGCUGACAGCCUGAGGUUUGGAGGAGAGACAACAUAGACAAGGGAGCAUGACAGAAAUCGAAUUUUCUAAUGUGAACUGUGAGUGUGAGUACAUUGAAGACUAUGGUUCAUUGGAGGGUGGAGGACCAUGAAUGGGAUGGCCUGGGAAGUCUCCUGUAGGUAGUAACACGUGCAUGGGAGAUCCUAGCCUUGGUAAAGUGUCCAGAUUUGAACCUCUCCGGGCCUCAAUUUUCUCAUCUGUAAAAUGAGUGGAUCAGAGACAGCAUUUGCAUCCAAGGGACUUUUAAGAAGUAUGCUAAUGCACUGCAGUGUUAUUUGAAAUUCAAGUGCAAAGCAAACAUAGAAAACAUACAUGAUUUUAAAAUCUGAGUGAUAGACCUAACAAAUUGAUAAACUACUACCUACAUUAUUCAAAAAAAUUGAAAAUUUCUAUCAAAACUCGGACGUUUAUUGGCCGCCAUCUUACAAACAGCCACAUGGGGGCAACAAAGUACCACACAAACUGAGACUGAGCUGGUCAAGCGCUGCAUUAAUCCAUAAUUCAUUCAUAUCUUGUCUUUUCACUUAAUUGACUUUCAUGAUCUCUGGGUAUGUUUGGGAUCCUUUUCAGAACCUAUAGAAGAGAAAGAAUUGAAUCAAGGUGUGGUCUGCCCUUAACCCCAGCCGUCAGGAGGCCAAGCAGGCAAAUCUCUUGGAGUUCAAGGCCAGCCAUAGCUACGGAGUGAAACUCUGUCAAGAUAGAAUGAAAGAGGGGAAAGGGAAGGAAGGAGGGAUAUGCCCCUCCCCAUUCCUAUCUUCCUGAGGUCAUGUGUGUAGUUUCUGACAAGCCCCCAAGGCAGGCACUAUUACUAUAUCUACUUUAGAAAUGAGGAUCCUGGGAAGUUAGAGACGUUUCCUCUUUUGAAAGGAUUCCUAAAGAGAAGCUAGGAAGACUAUAAGAGCCAGAGAUAAGGAGGAUUGGAGCAAAAUAGUCUUCUGGAGAGGAUAGCCCAGUUAUUGCACUCAGGAAUGCACAGCUGCUGUGCUUGGCUGCACGAGAUCAAGCCAGUGAACGCUGCAGCAUGGAGUGUUGCGGUGGCUUGACUAUGUUUGGCCCAGGAAGUAGCACUAUUAGGAGGUGUGAUCCUGUUGGAGUAGGUGUGGAGUAGGUUGCAAGAAGUGUGUCACUGUGGGGGUGGGCAGUGAGACCCUCCUCCUAGCUGUCUGAAGUCAGUCUUCUGUUUGCCUUCAAAACAAGAUGUAGAACUCUUAGCUCCUCCAGUGCCAGGCCUACCUGGAUGCUGCUGUGCUUCCUGCCAUGAUGAUAAUCUGCCGAACUUCUGGACAUGUAAGCCAGCCCCAACUAAAUGUUGAACUUUAUAAGAGAGACUUUGCCAUGGUGUCUCUUCACAGCAAUGAAAACCCAAACUAAGACAAAAGUUGGUCCCUGGGAUUGGGGUGUUAUAUGAUGGGCCUGACCAUGGUUUUGUUUGUUUGUUUGUUUGUUCUGUUGUGUUUUGUUUUGUUUUUGUUUUGUUUUGUUUGAAGGAAGGUAGAUUUGGGGACUUUGAAUUUGAAAAGCUAUGGAAUGCUUUAAGUAGGACUCAAUGGACCAUCCUAGUAAGAAUAUGGAAAGCGUUGGUGCUGAGGGUGAUUUGAACUCUGGAGGUCAUUCUUACAUUUUAUUGAAGAAUGUUGCUGCUUUCUGCCCUUGUCUGAAAAGUCUGUCUGAGAUUAAGGUAAAGAGAUUUCGAUCAAAUGAAUUGACAAAGGAAGACUCAGAAAGGCGCAGCAUAGACUAUGUCCUCUGGUUUGCUCCUAUGAAGAGCAUUUUGAUCAAGCUUAGGCAGUGAAGAAGUUGGAAAACAGAAAGCUCGUGAAGAUAUAAUAGAACAAGGGGACCAUGUUCCAGCCCCAGCAAACAGCAGAACUCAGCAACUUUGGCCAUGUGGCUCUCUGGCUUAAGAGUCAAGAAUAGAAGGGGGUUAUUGGCACAAUUGAUGUUGGUUAGCUGGAACUAAGAAAUUAGUGGUGAUUAAGAAGAGACCAGGAUCAUUUAGGUAAAAAAAAAAAAAUCUUCUGGGAAGUGUUUUCUGAGAGCACAAAGGAGCUGUGUUCCAGAGAUAGCCAAGAUUGUACCUCAUGCUGCAACUGUACUUGGUAAUGUGUAAGAAUCACCCAUGUGGCACUUGUUUUGAAGUCAUGAAGGGGUCAUGGAAAGCAGCUGGGAGAGGCCAUAGAAGGUCAUUGGUUAAGCUUCAGCCUCAGUUGCAGUUGAGGGCCCAGGACUGAAGGGGUCAGGCAAGGAAGUUGAGGCUUGGCACCAUGAAGAGAGCCUAUGAGAGGCUAUAGGUGAAGCAGUAGAAUACCACAGUGAAUUGGAGAUGGCAGUACCAUGAGAUGACCUCCAAGAACAGCAGCAGCAGUGGAAUGGAGUCAACCAGAGUACUACACAAGCAGAGUUGAAGAAGUGACACGAGCCAUUUGGAGGAGCCCAGGAGAUCAUUUGUGGAUCCAAGACAAUGGAACAAGAAGCUGUAAAGUUGGUAUUACCUUGGAUACCUUUAGAGAUGUCAGAGCCAUGGAUACCUGCUGAGGAAAGCUGCUAACAGGGAGUGGAACCAGCCCAAGAGAAUGAAGUUUGUUGCUGCUGAAUGCCAGAUCUGCCAACAGAAGUCAACAAGGGUGAAAGGAGUUGGAGAUCUGAAGAGCGUUUUGACAUUAGACAUGAAAACAUAGAGUAUGUCCAGCUGGUUUUCUGUUUGCUUUGGUCUAGUAUUUCCUCUUAAUGAUGUUUUGGGAUAGUAAUGUAUAUCCUGUAUGAUGUUGGAGGAAUGUGAUCUCCUUUUCUUAUUUUGAUUUCUUAAGGAAUUACAGUUAAGAGAUUGCAUGAGUGUCAGAAGAGACUUUGAAUUUUGGACUUUUAACACUAUUGAGACUGUUAGACCAUGGGAGCUUUUGAAGUUGAACUAAAUGUAUUUUGCAUUAUGUUAUGGCUAGGUAUGACCCCCAUAGACUCAUAUGUUUGAACAAGCCAGGAAGUGAUAUGGUUUAAAUAUGUUUGGUCCAGAGAGUGACUCUAUUAGGAGGUGUUGCCUUUUUGCUGGAAGUGGGCCACUGUGGGAGUGGGCAAUGAGACCCUCUCCUCCUAGCUGUCUGAAGUUAGUCUCUCCUGUUUGCCUUCAAGAUACCAACAAGAUACCUAGAACUCUCAGCUCCUCCAAUGCCAUGCCUACUUGGAUGCUGCCAUGCUUCCCACCAUGAUGAUAAUAGACUGAAGACAAACUAAGACAAGCAGGGAAGGUUUGCUCCUGACUGAGAAGCCAUGGUCAGCUGACAGUGUUGCAAGGAGGAGGAGUCGGUCUUAUUUAUGAGUAUAGCCUCUGUAAGUCAAACCAUGUUCCAGAGGAUGGCCCCACCCAAGAGUACAACACAAAUUGAACCUGGCAGGUUAUUUUUAAGAGGGGCGGGGCAUGAAGUUGAAAGUGGGUAGUUAAGUGGGGAAAGAAUCUGGGAAGAGCCAAGGGGAGGAUUGAGGGUGUGGCUAUGAUUUAAAUAAACUGCCUGCAUGAAAUUCUCAAAGAAUAAAAUUUCUGAUAUUUUUAAAAAGACUUUGCUAGUGGCUUCCCAGGAAGGAGGGAAACUAGGACCUAGACCCAAGCAGCCAGGCCUUGGAGAUCCAUUAGGGUGGCUAUUCCACUUUUAGAAUGUGUUUCUCAAGGGUAUCUCCUGGAGGUCCGGCUAUUAAUAUGCUCCUUGGGGUUCGCCUGGCAUCACGGUUCUAAAGACAAAACAUCUUUCUUUAAAAAAAAAAUUCUAGUUAUCUUGAUAUAGUCAAGAAAAACAGACUGGGACCUCUAACUUAAGAGCAGACAUGUAAUCUGACCAAAUGAGUCAUGAGUCUGACCCAUCCUCUACUUAAUGAUUGGUCCACUGAAGCAUGUGAUCAAGGUUGACCAAUCGGAGACAAUCCUGGCCGGGACUUGUGUUUUUGAGUUGGCUUUUUCCUGAUAAGGUGGCUAAGUGCUAAGGCGUAAGAUUAGGAUCCCUUUGGACAUCUUUGCCAAUACUUGGGAAGGGGCAGGCUGGAUGAAUGGGCCAUGUGAAGGAGGAAACAUGAAAGGUGGACAGUCCAAACUUGCUGACAUCUUGCUCCCUCAACUCCCUCCUCCUCAACCCACACAGCCUCAGAGCAUGAACCAAGUGUGCCCUUUUGCUUAAGAUGGGCCUUGCUGGGUUUCUGUCACUUUGAACUAAGCCCUACUUAAUGCAUUUCUCAGCAUCUCUGAGGCAGCAAGAACCAAGCUAUUGUCAGGGAGUGAAAGACCUGUGAAAGUCAGUCCAGAUAGGAUUUGCAUGAUAAGAAGAUCUUGUUUCAUACAGAGCAGCCAUCUAAAGUGGCCUGGGAUGGAAGGUCUGCAGCGUUGCCACAUGUAUGAGCCAGUGGACCCACAGUGAAGAGGGUGAAUGAGUUCCGUGGAGGUUCAGACACAUCUGUGGCCAUCAGAAGGAGCAAAACUAAGAAACCGAAAGGAGCCUUUGCUUCAGGUCCUGGUGUUCAUUCUGUUCGUCUCAAUGAACACAAUCACGGGUCAAUCCAUGCUUCAAGUGUUCAGCAGCCAGUGUCGCCCACGACCUUCACCUCGGAGACAGAGCUCUAGACAAGAAUCUGACUCAAUAUUCGUCGUAUGAGCAAUCUUUAAGGUAUUGGAGACCAUGCUCCCUGGGUCUGCACAUCAUACAAGACCUGAAGAGAAUACAGGUGUUGAGCAGUUGGAUUUGGGUGCUGACAACUGGGACCGGUGACAUGAAUCCAUCAAGAGGACAGCUCAGCCAAGACCUAAGUUGUUUCCUACGAGACCUUUAAGAGGAGGGGGGCCUGGGUGCCUAUAGAGGGGAGAGUCAGCUGAUACCAUUUGAGCUUAAACACAAAACAAGUAAGAUAUGCAGCAGCAUAUGUCCUUGGUGACUUUUACUUUGGAUAUUUAGAGCAUGUUUUCAGGAGCCACUAGGGUGCUGAGACUACUCAAACCAAAGCUUGUAAGGUAGGGCCAGAAAAGUCAGAGCCUUCAACACGGAGAACGGAAACCCCAGCUUUCUGAAGCCAGCAUCAGUGACCAUCACUCAGGAUCAGUGCCAAUACCACCCGAUGAUGAGUCACUCUACACUUCAGAAAACCAAACCAGGCAACCUAAUGUUGAGAAGCACACUGGGAGAUCUAUGCUGUAUUAUUUUGCUGGCUCUCUCUCUCAUUCGGACUUCUUCCAAAGCUACAGGCAAGGUGUCAACAGACAGUGGCCUCUGGGUCCUUGAUGCUACUUACUGUAAAAUAAAACAUUUCUGUCUCC